This 77-nucleotide transfer RNA is filed under the name Methanobacteriota archaeon. RNAcentral's name for it is "Euryarchaeota archaeon tRNA-Met". It matches the Rfam family "tRNA". Rfam says of the family: Transfer RNA (tRNA) molecules are approximately 80 nucleotides in length. Their secondary structure includes four short double-helical elements and three loops (D, anti-codon, and T loops). The record is from RNAcentral. RNAcentral also lists the same sequence under 1 other name. Lineage: Archaea; Methanobacteriati; Methanobacteriota.
GCCGGGGUAGCUCAGCUGGUUAGAGCGCCGGACUCAUAAUCCGGAGGUCGCGGGUUCGAAUCCCGCCCCCGGCACCA